Molecule: non-coding RNA, 141 nt
Organism: Erinaceus europaeus (western European hedgehog)
Lineage: Eukaryota; Metazoa; Chordata; Mammalia; Eulipotyphla; Erinaceidae
Source: Rfam
AGCUUUGAGUAGUGGCAGUAUCAUAAUCAAUAGGGUUUUUCCAAGGUGUGAAUAUUGCUAAGUUAAAACUUUUCCCAAUACCCUGCCAUGACGACUUGACGUAUAGCUGGCAUUGGCAAUUUUUAAAAUAUUUAUUUAUUU